UCUUGGUCAUUUAGAGGAAGUAAAAGUCGUAACAAGGUCUCCGUUGGUGAACCAGCGGAGGGAUCAUUAUCGAGUUAUUCAACUCCCAAACCCUAUGUGAACUUACCACUUGUUGCUUCGGCGCGCGCUUCGGCGCCGCCGAGGACACUUAAACUCUUUGUUUUUAUAAGCAUUUCUGAGUGGCCGAAAGGCAAAAAUACAAAUGAAUCAAAACUUUCAACAACGGAUCUCUUGGUUCUGGCAUCGAUGAAGAACGCAGCGAAAUGCGAUAAGUAAUGUGAAUUGCAGAAUUCAGUGAAUCAUCGAAUCUUUGAACGCACAUUGCGCCCGCCAGCAUUCUGGCGGGCAUGCCUGUUCGAGCGUCAUUUCAACCCUCGAGCCCGACUCUUUUGAGGACGGCUCGGCGUUGGGGGACGGCAGACUCCCCCCGGCAUCUCGCCGGGGACGCCGCCCCCGAAAUCUAGUGGCGGCCCUCCGAGGCGACCUCUGCGUAGUAACUUGUUCUCGCACCGGAAAGCUCAGAGCGGCCACGCCGUAAAACCCCAACUUUUUUCAGGUUGACCUCGAAUCAGGUAGGACU
This 580-nucleotide ribosomal RNA is filed under the name uncultured eukaryote. Its description in RNAcentral is "eukaryotic LSU rRNA". The stretch from base 212 to 365 matches the Rfam family "5.8S ribosomal RNA". The record is from RNAcentral.